Molecule: long non-coding RNA, 873 nt
Organism: Carassius auratus (goldfish)
Lineage: Eukaryota; Metazoa; Chordata; Actinopteri; Cypriniformes; Cyprinidae
Exons: 3
Source: RefSeq, a predicted model, not a curated record
UAAGUUAUUGGCAAUAUGCCGGCACAGAGUAGAAUAUUGAUUACGUUUUAAGGGAGGCAGGGGUUUUAGGCAGGAUUUGAUUCAUGAUGUGUGUGUAGAUAUUAAUGUUAGGGGACAAUGUGAGAGUGUACGUUUUAGUAGGAAAACGUAUUAUCUGACCCACACUCCGGAACAGAAGAGGGCGGUAAUGCACCAAUAAGCUGGAUGCCAACCGCCGUUAAACUGGAAAGAAGACGAAUAUGACAGCUUGCUGUGAGAGACAACGGGACAGAUGAGACACAUGUGUGUUUAUCUGCUGUAGAGUAACUGAUGAAGGAAUGCUACCAUCAAAGGAUUUGUGUAGUCGUGCUCAUGGGGUGCAGGCACACGAAAGUUUGGAGCAGACACAGCAGUCAGAUUGUCCUGCACGUGUUCCCCUGCUUUAGCUUCAAGGUUGUGUGGUUCAGAGAGCCGUCAUCAAGGUCUUCCUCAUCCUGUUUCUCAACGACAUCCCCAUUGAGAAGAGUGAGAUUGUGAAGUGCAGCGGCAGAACUGUAUCAGCUGUGUUCAGAUGGCAGGAGGAUGUUGGGUUCACCAUCUGUAAAUACUUGAUUGUUAGAACAAUACGUUUGAAUGAAGCUUUGUAUCAUGUGUUGUUGACUUGUGCAUGUAUGCAUUUAUUGUGAUGAUAACUUUUAUACAUUAUUUUAAUCAUUUAGACAUAUUUUUGGUUGUCAGUAAAUAAAAUAUAAAUAUUUUAUCCAUUAAUGUAUUAAUUGCUUGACUGAAAAUGGAUGUAUUCACAUCGACUGCAUUUAUUUAACUAGUGUAUAUAUUCAUGUAUAGCUGUGUCACAAAAGAAAAUACAUUUGGCUUCUUUUACUAAAAUGUAAU